GAAAAGAAAAAACACAGAUGCUGCUUAUCAGGCCAGACAGGCAGCGAGAAACACGCCGAAGCGGAUUCCCAGCAUCACGAUGCAGUCACCCUCGGCUUGUAGCUCCCCGGGCCAGGAGUUCCCUCCAGGUGACCAGCUGGACUGCUUGGCUCUGGAUCUUCCGUCCAUAAAGAAUGCUUCAGGGACAUCCAGGUUGGUGUCAUUUUUUGAAACACCCGGAGCUUGUAACGAUGACAUCAGCCACGGGGCAGGUCCAGAUGAUCCAACUCAGAAGAAGCCUCUGGGCCCAAAGGCUAC
This is a long non-coding RNA of Nematolebias whitei (Rio pearlfish), 297 nucleotides long. RefSeq lists it as uncharacterized. The transcript is spliced from 3 exons. Lineage: Eukaryota; Metazoa; Chordata; Actinopteri; Cyprinodontiformes; Rivulidae. The record is from RefSeq and is a predicted model, not a curated record.